GUCCUGAUGGUGUAGUGGAUAUCACACCCGACUAGUAUGCGGGGGGACGUGGGUUCAAAUCCCACUCAGGGCG
Non-coding RNA from Orbicella faveolata, 73 nucleotides. The record is from the annotation of a RefSeq genome assembly. Lineage: Eukaryota; Metazoa; Cnidaria; Anthozoa; Scleractinia; Merulinidae.